RNAcentral lists this ribosomal RNA (389 nucleotides) under uncultured bacterium. RNAcentral's name for it is "bacterial SSU rRNA". It matches the Rfam family "Bacterial small subunit ribosomal RNA", at positions 28 to 407 of the family's 1533-position model. The record is from RNAcentral.
AGCGAACGCUGGCGGCGUGCUUAACACAUGCAAGUCGAGUGCGUAGCCCUUUGUAGCAAUACAGAGGGUGGGCGCACGGCGCACGGGUGAGUAACACGUGGGUAACCUGCCCUUCGGUGGGGAAUAACCCCGCGAAAGCGGGGCGUAAUUCCGCAUAACAUUCCGGGGACACAUGUUCUCGGACUCAAAGGAGUGAUUCGCCGGAGGAGGGGCCCGCGCCCGAUUAGCUUGUUGGUAGGGUAACGGCCACCAAGGCUUUGAUCGGUAGCCGGUCUGAGAGGAUGGCCGGCCACACUGGAACUGAGACACGGUCCAGACUCCUACGGGAGGCAGCAGUGGGGAAUCUUGCGCAAUGGGCGAAAGCCUGACGCAGCGACGCCGCGUGGGGA